This 484-nucleotide ribosomal RNA is filed under the name uncultured bacterium. RNAcentral describes it as "bacterial SSU rRNA". It matches the Rfam family "Bacterial small subunit ribosomal RNA", at positions 15 to 507 of the family's 1533-position model. The record is from RNAcentral.
GAUCAUGGCUCAGAUUGAACGCUGGCGGCAGGCCUAACACAUGCAAGUCGAGCGGGGUUUCGGACCUAGCGGCGGACGGGUGAGUAAUGCGUAGGAAGCUACCCGAUAGAGGGGGAUACCAGUUGGAAAUGACUGUUAAUACCGCAUAAUGUCUACGGACCAAAGUGUGGGACCUUCGGGCCACAUGCUAUCGGAUGCGCCUACGUGGGAUUAGCUAGUUGGUGGGGUAAUGGCUCACCAAGGCGACGAUCCCUAGCUGGUUUGAGAGGAUGAUCAGCCACACUGGAACUGAGACACGGUCCAGACUCCUACGGGAGGCAGCAGUGGGGAAUAUUGGACAAUGGGCGCAAGCCUGAUCCAGCCAUGCCGCGUGUGUGAAGAAGGCCUUCGGGUUGUAAAGCACUUUCAGCGAGGAGGAAGGGAGUUGUGUUAAUAGCACAGCUUUUUGACGUUACUCGCAGAAGAAGCACCGGCUAACUCUGUG